AGGACGAACGCUGGCGGCGUGCUUAACACAUGCAAGUCGAGCGGAAAGGCCCUUCGGGGUACUCGAGCGGCGAACGGGUGAGUAACACGUGAGCAACCUGCCCCUGGCUCUGGGAUAGCCUCCGGAAACGGGGAUUAAUACCGGACAUUCACUUCCUUCCGCAUGGUUGGUGGUGGAAAGUUUUUCGGCCGGGGAGGGGCUCGCGGUCUAUCAGCUUGUUGGCGGGGUAACGGCCCACCAAGGCGACGACGGAUAGCCGGCCUGAGAGGGCGAUCGGCCACACUGGGACUGAGACACGGCCCAGACUCCUACGGGAGGCAGCAGUGGGGAAUAUUGGACAAUGGGGGCAACCCUGAUCCAGCAAUGCCGCGUGAGUGAUGAAGGCCUUAGGGUUGUAAAGCUCUUUCGGCGGGGACGAUGAUGACGGUACCCGCAGAAGAAGCCCCGGCUAACUUCGUGCCAGCAGCCGC
Molecule: ribosomal RNA, 470 nt
Filed under: uncultured bacterium
Lineage: Bacteria
Description: SSU rRNA
Rfam family: Bacterial small subunit ribosomal RNA
Source: RNAcentral